This 11814-nucleotide long non-coding RNA is filed under the name Ananas comosus (pineapple). Its description in RNAcentral is "long non-coding RNA (ACOM_LNC031015)". The record is from RNAcentral. Lineage: Eukaryota; Viridiplantae; Streptophyta; Magnoliopsida; Poales; Bromeliaceae.
CUUUUCACUAUUUAAGUAAGAUCAUAUCAGUAUAUCUGAUCUUGAAUUAAAUCUUUUAUCAUCAUUUUUUAUGAGAUUUUUAUUUCAGCGUUCAAUUUUAGACUACUUGUUUGAUAGUAAAUGAUAUCUGAAAAAUUAUGAAAUUAGUUUCUAAAUGCUUUAAUGUGUAGAUCAGUCUAACGAGCCGAAUCGUCGAUUUGGAACUGCAUCAUCGAAACAACUUGGUACGAACGGAGCGCUCCGUGACACAAGUGUGUUUUCGAUAUCAGCUUCCAAAUCGACGAUCGCUCCGUAGACUUGAUCUAUACUAUUAAAAAUAUUUGAAAACUAAAUUCAAUAAUUUUCGACAUCAUUUGGCUAGUGAUCAAAAGGUUCCAAAAUCUACAAUCUUUAAUGGUAAAGUAUAUGAUGGCGUUUUUAAGUUCAACAGUAUAGAAGUAUUCAAAUUAAGAUGAAAAUUUAAUAGAAAAUUCUACUUAACAUCAAUAGCAAGACUAAUACUUUCGAUUUCAAAUUGUGAAUUCUUAUCACUGAGUUAUAAAAUUUUCAUUUUCAGCGCGUUAUUUUUAGACUACUCGUUUAAUUGGUAAAUGACGCCGAAAAAUUAUAAAUUUAGUUAACCGAAUACUUUCAAUAUAUGAUCAAGUCUAACGAGCGCCGAUCGUUGAUUAGAAACCGCACUCAUUGAAAACAACUUGUGACACGGCAGCCGCCACCUCACAAUGCUACCUAUAGUAUACCAGCUAGCUUAUAAUAUAUAUAUAUAUAUAUAUAUAUAUAUAUAUAUAUAUAUAUAUAUAUAUAUGGCAUUUAAAAGAAUAUUAAUUUCAAACGUAGCUUACCCUGAAAACUUUCUAUUUGAUGAACUUCGUACAUGCAUGGAUAUAUAAAAAUAAAAUGGGUGAAUGGACUUACCCUAGAUAGUGCUACGAGUCCCUUCAAUCUAAAAGCUUAUUCUGAAGCUCAAUUUUUGUCGUAAAUACACUCAUCCGAAUUUACGUGUUUUCAAUAUAAGCCACAUAUCUCAGGAGAGUUCAAGGGCUCAGCCCAAAACUCCAUAACUCCGAAAAUAUGAUAUAUUUAAUAGAACUAAUUAAAUCUACAUAUUAAAGCCUAUUAGAUCCAACCCACUAGUACAUAUAUCAAACCUUUCACUCAUUUAAUACUUAUUCGAUAUGGUACUACUGAUAUGUAAACUCCUACUAAUAGAUAAGUCUCGUAUUGAGUUUUCUUCUUUUUUUUUUUUUUUCCGAUACUGCUUAAAAUAGUCAUUUAUUAACUUAAAUAUUGCAGAUAAAAAUGUAUAUUCUUGUUCUUGAUUAAUAUUAUUAUUAUUAACUUUUUUUUUUUGAGUGAUAGAUAGCAUGCAAUUCGCUUCGUUUAUUUCAUUUAGAAAUAAACUUAACUAGAAAUGUGAAUCAACUAGGAUUCGAACUUAGGGACCUUAGGUACCAACCACAAAGCGCCCUUUGCCACUUGCUUUAGGGACGGUCGGUAAAAGCAGAGGAGCCUAACUCGAUAUAUUGAUACGUCACGCGCACAUUAACAAUAUUUUUGGGUACCUUCUCAUGAGGUCCAAUAAGCAUUUAGUUAUGGAGAAAGCUAACAAGUCUCCUCCUAGCUUUCUGUUUCAUCAUUUAAUUAGAGGCAUGAGUUGUACACACUACACACACAGGGAUUGGAGUGGUCAAAAAGAAAGAGCAUAGCCUUGUUGGAUUCCAAGGACUAAAACUACACACAAAAUCUCUCUCUCUCUCUCUCUCUCUCUCUCUCUUCUUUAAUUUCUUUAUUACAAUUUCUUGGUCAUCUCAUGUGCAGGCCCCCAUCACAGAAUACAGAGUCUGAGUCAACCAAAAUUACUCAUCUUUCAAAGAUACUAUAUAUCAUAAAUUGCCAAUAAUAUUUCCAAGAGCAACCGACCAAAUCUUAGUACGAUUAACUAAGAACUUAAUAGUUGGUGUUUAAUAUCUCAAAUUUAAAAUUUAAUUAUUUUGUAUUUACGGCCGAGUUCAUUUCUAACAAAUGAACGAAAUGAAUAAACUACUUUUCUCUCCAAAAAUAUUUUAAGAGCUGAGCUCCUAGGGAGAGUUUGGUUUUCUAGAAAAAAAUUUCUAGAAAAUAGUUUUUCUGGUUGAAAAAGUAUUUUUGGCAAUUUUGAUUUUCAGCAAAGUAGUUAUUCUGGAAUUUUUUUUUUCCAGAUUUUAUGGGAAAAAAAUCUCCUUUUUGUUUUUUUUUUUCUAAUUUGUUUAUUUAAAAAGCAAAAACUAUGAAAAUAAUAUUUUCAUAAUUUUUGAGGAAUCAAACAGUACCCUUUUAAAUGAGAAGUAAGGACAUAUUAAUAGUAAUAUAUUGAAUAAAAUGAUUAAUUUCUUUGGAUAUAUAGUAAACAAAGCAUAUCCAUAUAUCAUAAUUUGUGUGUGUGUGUAUAUAUAUAUAUAUAUAUAUAUAUAUAUAAAAGUUUCAUAAUAGUUUAUAAUGGCAUUUAUUCUUUCUGAUAUAAUGAUAUUAAUUGAAUAUAACCACACGAAAUAAUAAUGCACGAAAUGAAUGGUUGAUAGAGAGCUUAUAAUAAAAUUUUUGUUUGUAUUCAAUUUAUUAUUUUAAGGGAAAAUAUUGAAAGGGAUUUAAUUUCCUUCUUAUUUUUUUGGUCGGCAACGUGUUCGUAAAUUGCGGCCAUGUUUGUCCACUCCCUCUUUUUCAACUUUUUAUUUUAAUUUUAUUUUAUUUUAUUUUAUUUUGUUUUGUUUUUCAACUUGUUCUUGCAUGGUAGUUGUUGCAUAGCUGGUUCCACAUUUAUUAGUACAGUUUAGUUUUUGUUUUCUAAUUCUUCUUUGGCCAACAAUUUUAUUUUUUAAAAAAUAUACACCUCAAAGUGGAUGUAAUUCGUAUAUUCGAUCCCUAAAAUAGGUGAGGUGUAUAACUUAUUAUCUCAAAAAAAAAGAGUAUAUUAUAGUUUAAUUAGCAAUCCUUUUCUUCUUUUUUUUUUGCUGUAAAUAAAAUUAGUUUAAGAAAAAUUUAAUUUAACACUUCAUCUAAAAGAAGAGAAAAAAGAAAAAAAGUAAAUGAGGAUCAGCACCGUAUAAUUUCUUAUUAUGCCCGAGUAAGAUUUUGAGAUUUAGACAAAAAUUUGAUAGACAGAAACAAAUAUUAGAGAUUCGAGAGUGGGACAAAUCAUAUGACUCAUCAAAUUAUAUAUCUUACUAAAAUCUCAUUGAGCAGUUUUUCAAUAACGUCGCGCUCAUCUAAAAAUACUAAUCAAAGUAUAUUUUUUAAUAACACUAUAUCGAUCAUCUAGCACGACUAAAUUAAUUAGAUGUUAACAUCUUUGCAAUUAGGUUGAUCAGAUUAAACUAGAUAGAAUAUAAUACUUGGUGGUUGGUACCCGAGACCUAAGUUCCAAUAUAAUACUUGGUAUGUAGUAUAAUUAAUCCUUCAAUUGUAGACUUUCUCAUCACCUAACUAUCAAAGUUUCCACAUGAAGGUGCUAGAAAAACUAAAAAAAAAAAAAGAAGAAAAGGGCCAUGUAUGUUAAGUGAUUGUUGGGGAUUUGUCAUAUAUAUAUUGUGAUUGGUUGAGAGGGUCAAAAUGAUGAGAAACUUCUCCAUCUAUGGACAUGAGAGUCAAUUAAAAUACACAAAUAACUUGUGUGAACAAAAGAAAUUAAUAGCCAAGUUAAUUUCCAAUUGGAUGUUUCCUUCUCAUUUAUGAGUUCAUAGUUGACAAGUAAGUCCCUUGUUCUACUAGCAAAAUUAUCAAUAAAUUAAUUAAAGUGGAAUCUGUCAUUGACCAAGUCAUCGCAAUACACGUAACCAAUUAAUAUUCAGAUUGAUAAACUCAAUCAAAUAUCACAUAUAGCAGGCACUCCAAUCUGCUAUUACAUUGUAAAUUUAUGGAUUAAUUUCAUACAUGUCCCUAUAAACAUAGUAAAUGGCAAAUAUAUUCCUACGAAGUUCAAAUUUUAUAUGUAGUUUCUGUAAAAGUUCUGAUAUUUUCAAAUAUGUCCCGAUAGUUUACUUUUUUUUUUGAGAGAUUUCCUAGCGCAAGUGGCAAAAGGCUUAGUGGUUUGUACCGGAGCUCCAAAGUUCGAAUUCUAGUUUAUUCAUAUAUUCAGCUAAGCCAUACUACAUAUGAAAGUUGAACUUUGUAGAGAUAUAUUUGCUAUUCAUUAUAUUUGCAGGAACAUGUAUGAAAUUAAUCCAAAAUUUAUAAUACAAAAUUUAAACAAAAUUCCAGUGUUAAAAUAGAGUUUAUAAAAGCUUUUACUUUUAUUUCAAAAUUUGCACAGGUCAUGCAAAAAUAAUAUAUGCCUGUGUGGACCCCACACAACCUACUAUUAUAUUAAUAUUUGUAAAAAAAAAAAAGAAAAGAAAGAAAAAGAAAAACUCAUUUACUUUUGAGGAAAAAGUAAUCAAUUGUGUUGCUGUCCAUUUCAGAACCUGUUCAAUGACAGUUCCUUCUACUAUACCCUGCAGGAUUGUCAAUAAAAAGACAAGGAAUUAUUAAUGUACUACUACUCUUCUUACAGGUCCAUGCAAACACCUAGAACAUAGAUCCAAUGAAAUAAUUAGGGAUAAAUUAUACAAUAUUCUCAAAAUCAAAAAAAAAAAAAAAAACAAACUUGAGGCCACUUUGUGAUAUGACCAGGAGUAGACUCUCCAGAGCUAAUUUGUAAUAUAGCAAGAAACUUUCCAAAUGAAGCCUCUUGUAAAUCCUUUAGAUUUCUUCUUUUUUUUUUCUUUUUUUUUUUUUUGAAUUGACAUUCAAUUUCCUUUCCCUUGAGAAAACUUAGGACAGUUUCUCACACUACAUAAAAAGUGAUUGGAAUUAACAUAACCAAGUAAUUACAGCAUACAAAGUUAGCUUGUUAAAAAACAAGAACAAACAUCUGAUUCAAUUAAUUCCCCAGAGAAAGAAGAAACUGCUUUAUUUUUUUCUUAUGAAUAUAUUCAGAAGUACUGUAGGGUGUGUCAAAUUUAUUAUAAGGUCAUUUGAUCACAUCUCAAACAAAGAUCCACAAGUAAGAAGAAGAGGAGGAGGAAUUAGAGGUGCUUGCUACAAAUAUAUAUGCCAGCAAAAAUUUGAAUCAGAUCACAAUUGACAUUAUAAUUUUUCUUUUUCUCCUAUUCUAUCUCUUUUCACCUGUCAAAAAAAAAAAAAAAAAAAAACGAUAAAAGAACCUCUAUCCAAGUUACCAUGUACAACAAAUUCCCCUGUAUUAAAAUGCAUGAUUUGUGUCUUGGUCCGUGCCGCGCAGGCACUCUUGCAUGAUCUGAAUAUUCUCAGGCAGAUCAGGGCAGCGCUUUUGUCUUGCGGCUCGCGAGCCCGCCGCUCUCCAUGAGAGCAGCCAGCGUUGGUGAGGAGGCCGGCCGCGAGAGCGCGCGCGGCGUCUCACGGGCCCUGGCGUCGCGGUGGCGGUGGCAACCACCUCCCAACAGCACCCCGACCCGCCGCUCCGCCCCGCUCCCUCCCGCUCUUCAUCAUCCGUCCACCACCAACUCCUACCGCACUCCUCCACCCCGCAUAUCUCCCCACCCUGCCCUCCGCGUCACACCCGCCGCCGCUUCCAAAACUUCAACCGCGCCGCCCGCCGCCGCCGCCCGCCCCGCCGCGCGCCCCCCAUAAAACCGCUCGCCGCGGCGCCCACUGCGCAGCGCGUCACCAUCUCCCCCCUCCCCCGCCGCGACCCCGCCCCGAUCCCGGCGAGGCACCCCAUCGCCGCCGCCGCAGCCGCCGCCGCCGCGGGGGCGUCGCCCUCUCCGGCGAGCCGGAUCAGCUCCGGGAUCAGAUCCGGCGCCUCCGCGACCGCCGCGGCCUCCGACUCGCUCCCGCACGCCGCGAUCAGCGACUCCAGAACCCGCGCGGCGUCGACCCGCGGGCCCAUCUCCUUCGUCCUCAGCACGCGGGCGAGCGCCGCGGCGGAGGCGCCCGGGUCGGCGGCGGCGGCGACCGCCCGCUUGUCGGCGCCGUCGGCGGCGAGGACGAGCGCCAGAACCCGCGCCGCCGCCGCCUCCGCGCCCUCGACCCGGAGCAGCGGCGCGACGGCCGCGGCGAGCCCGUCCUUGUCGACCUCCCCCUCGUCCUCGUCGUCCUCCUCGAGGAUCGCCGCGAUCUCCCGCAGCGCCGGGGCCGGGUCCGCCGCGUCGCGCGCCUCGCGGAGGAGCUCCUUGACCGCGGCGGAUGGGGAGGAGGAGGAGGAGGAGGAGGAGAGGGUACUAGUAAUCGCGCUAGGGUUAGGGUUAGGGUUAGGGUUAGGGUUAGGGGCGUUGUCGUUCCAGAGGCGGAUGAGGCGGAGGAGGGUGAGGUUGGGGACGAGGUCGGUGGAGGAGAGGGGCUGCAUGGUGGCGGGGCAGGUGGCGUUGCCGGACUGCAGCCAGCGCUGGAUGGAGGAGCGGUCGUAGGUGACGCCGGUGCAGAGGCUGACGGGCGACCUCAUGACGUCCAGCGAUAUCGGGCAGCGGAAGAAGCUCGGCACCUUCACCUCCAACGCCCUCCUCGUCUUCUUCUUCUGCGCCAGUACGCCCUCCUCCCCCUCCUCCUCCUUCCUCCUCCCCAUCAUCAUCAAUCAAUCAAUCAAUCUAUCUAUCAACACCUUGCUUACUCUUUAAUAAUCUUCUUAAUUAAUUCUACUAAUUCCUCCUUGUUGCUACUCCCCCUGAUUGUUCUGAUUCCUAGCUAAUUAAUAAUGGGUGUGGUGUGGUGUGUUGUGAUGUGUUUUGUGUGUGGGAUUUGGGAUGGUGAUGCUCCCAAGGAGGAAGAAGAAGAAGAAGAGGGAGAAGAGAUGAUGAGAAAAGAGGGAGGGAGGGAGGAGAGAAUGGAGUAGAAAGGGAAAGAUGGGGGAAGGAGUGGGUUUUAAGGUGGUGGAAAUGGAAAUGUAGGAGUAGAUGGAGAAAAAUAAAAAAACCCCCCUUAACUAUAGAUUAUUCUACAAUUGGUCCUUGUACUUUCCUUAGUUUAGGCAAACAAUAUCAGGAGGAGAAGAAAAAAUAUUUGAUAAAAAAGAAUAUUUGAUGCCUACUACCUAACCAAUAAUUUGUAAAAAAAAAUUAAUCAUAUAGCGAAAUAUAAUAAAUUUUAAUACCUAAAAGUAAUAUAGGUCACGUAUAAUUAUAUGACUGUACUGUGUAAAGCAUAAUAAAAUAAUAAAUAAUAAAAUUUAAUAUUUUGGGUCAGAUGUUGUAUAAAAUUAGGUAGAUAUGAACUAAAGAAAAAAUAAUUUUAAGUAGAGGGGUCUCCUUGCAUAUUUCAUCCUUUUCAAAGGAGAGAGAGAGGGAGUCAAAGAAACUGAGGGAGGGUGAUGACGUAGGAUGGGGGGUUGCUUUCAAAUUUUUUGGGUUUUUCUUGUUUACUUUGCCAAUUGCUUUCCCAUCUUUCUUUUUCUUUUGUUUGCUGCGCAUAUUUUUUCACUGGUAUUAAUAAUGGUGUCGAUCCGUUUAUUCAAGUACUCUCUUUUUCUUAUUCUUUUUUUUAUUUUUUUAUUUCUCUUUUUGCCUUGUUUGGUCUACGGUCAAAGGUGCGUGUUCCGGGUUAGCUGAUUUCGUGGGGAUAUAGGUCAAAAUUUAAAACUGGGGUGGGGAUUGGUUACGUGGGAUUAUUCGUGAUAUUAUAUGGUCUCAUUAUUCCACAGUAAUUUUACUGGAGCUGUGGGACCCACGUGUGGUUAGGAAUUACCAGUAGGAAUGCAAACGGGACGAAUCCGAAUGCAAGAAAGAUCGCCAUCUCUCUUUUUCUUUUUUUCUUUUUUUUUUGUGACGGAUCAGGACAUAUAUUUUGAACGGAUUAAUUUUUAUCAUAUUUUCUUAUUAUACACUCAUUUGAAAUGAAUUGAAACGAAAAUAAAUUUAGGACAGAUUUUUAGCAGAUCGACCAUCACUUACGAUUUCAUUAAAAACGAAUCAGUACGGAUGCUCCACUAGCCUGGAUCCAUUUGCAUCCUUUAGUUAGGAGUUUUUUUUGUAUUGAGAGGGUAUUUGAUGCACACGGCAUGUAUACACAGAGGCCUCUGUAUUGCCCAUUAGAAAUUUAAAUCUAAAUUAUUUUUUUUUACUUGUACCACUUUAGGGAUUUUUACGUACUAAUAUGAUGAAUUAUUUUUUUUCAACUACUCCGUCCUUCUUUAUCAUUGAUUGUUUGUAUGGCAUGAAUUGGAAAGAGUUGGAGACAGAAUCGUACCAAAUGUAGUUGGCAAAGGCUUAAUAAUUGAUACUCAAAAUUUUCAAAUUCGAAAUCUAUACUUAUUUCUGAAAAAGAUAAAUAAAGUCGAUAACUUGCUACUUUUCUCUCUUAAGAAAAAAAGGACAAAGUUGGAGACUGAAUCAUAGAAAUUAUACAUUAACCGGGCGAGUACGCUCAAUUCAUUUUACUUUAUUGUACUUAUUAGGUUAAUAUAGUUCAUUCAAUUUCAAUCUCAAACGAAGCAUUAUAAAAUAGUGAAUUCUCAACAAUUUUUGCUAUUUACAUAUAUAUAUAUAUAUAUAUAUAUAUAUAUAUAUAUAUAUAUAUAUAUAUAUAUAUAUAUAUAUAUAUAUAAGCUAUUUAGAGGCCGUAGAUUACAUCUGAAUUCAGAUUUAAUUAUCUCUGUAAUUGAGUUUUGUGAUUUGCUCUGAUAUAUUUGUGGAGACUUUGACUAUUUCGUCAAAUUUUUUUAGAAAGAAAGGUAAUUUGCUAUAAAUUUUGUUUUUUUUUUAAAAAAAAAUAAAUUUUGCUAGAAAUAUAAAGUAAUUAGAUUUCGAAUUUAAAAUUUUAGAUACUAAUAAUUAAUUUUUUUUUUCACUUACCCUGGCUUGGUACUGUUCUGUUGUUAUUGUAGGGAUUAUGGUCUACGGAGGCACGUGGGGCCCACGUGCCUAACCAAGUAACCAACGCCGCGGGAACUCCACGGGUUGGUCGUCGCUCGUAGUUAACGGCUCGGAUCCGUGAGAAAGGUAACGGACGUUUAUCACACGCGUGGGUCUUAACACGUGGGAUGCAUUUUACCGUUACUUGAUUUUACCUGGAAUAUCAGAAUAAAUUACGAAUUAUUUAAAUAUAAUUAUCUUUUUCAUCUAUUAAAUACUAUAAAAUUUCCAAGUUAAAAAGACAUACGAAAUAUAAUAUUCAUAUCCAUUUAUUUUAUUCCAAUAAAAAGUCUUUUUUUUUUUUCCUUUUUGAAUCGGUCAAAAUUUACAUCAAUAAAUUCAAACUUCGUGAACUUUGCAGAUUAUAUCUAUUAAUUAUGAAAUAUUAAGAGCGGCGUGUACGCGCGGGUCAGGUUAGUGCUUUAAUUAUCGUAUUUGGUUCCACUUAUUUGGCUAAUUAUAGAAAUUAAUUUUGUUAUGCUAAGCUAUAUCUGGGUUUAGUUUAUAUACCGUUCUCAGUUCUCUUCAAUUCGUAACCCUUGUGUAUACGUUAUUACUUCCGUAUACGCGUAUGUACAAGUAAUCUAUUUAAUGCUCUUGCUUUUUUUUUUUCCUUUUUUUUGCAUAAUUAUAUCCGUAACUCUCACAAUUUAGCCAAAAAAAACAUAUAGAUUAUACAUAUAUGUUGAAUUUUAUUUAAUAUCGGCCGAAAAACUAUAGAUGAAACAUAAGGAACUCUCAAAUGUAAAGAAAAAUUAAAAUUUCGAGAGUAAUUUUUCAAAUGACAAAGUGGGGUUCAAACUCUUUUUUGUUUUAAUUAAUGUUUUUUUUUUAAAGAAAAAAGAAAAAAAAAGAGAAGCUUUUAUAGCUUUUUGUGUAGGCCGUGUUUUGAUUAAUUAAUAAAUUCAUCAUUAUUACAGAUCGAGAUCCCAACAAUUUCUAACCAAUCGAUCUUAAUUAUUACUAAUUAUUGUUAUUACUAUUUCUAACUAAUAACCACUAUUAUUAUUAUCACUAUUUUUUUAAAAUUAAAUACUCCCUUUGUAGUCAAUCAUUCUAAAACCUGGAAAAAGAGAAAAUUUAAGUAUGGAAAUUACAACUUUACAACUAAUUUUGAUCAACCUAAUGUGGUAGGUGUGUUGCUUAUAAUUAAAAAAAAAAGAAAUUAGAGUUAGUGGUCAUUAGUCCACAGUGCAUUCCAACAGUGCAUUCCAACCUAGAGCUUAGCUAGAUCACAGCAAGUAAUUAAGACUUAGGUAUUGAGUACAUUAAUUGCUAUUCAAUAAAGUAUUACAAUUAGAAAUUACUAUAAAAAUAUUUUUGUUAAAGAUUUUUUUUUUUUUUUUUUAACAACAGAGAUAAGAAUUCCAACUUGUUCGGAACCGGUUUGAACUAUAAGAUCGAUUGUAAUACAGUUAGAUGAAGUGUUGUUUUAGAACCAUUAUUAGAAAAGAAAAAAAAAAUUUUGUCGUACUUUUAUAGUUGAACUGAAAAAAGUUUUCGACUCUUUUUAUUGCAGAAUAUAUAUGUUAUUACAGGCAAUUAAAAGUAAAAAAUUAGAUAUGGAAGUUUGAUCCAUAGAAUUCUAUCAAUAUUUGAUCAUAAUAAAAAUUAUAGAUUCUUAUUUAUUUUUCAACAAUUCGAAUCAACACAGUUUUUAAUAGUGUGUUGUAUUAUUAAGUGAUUUUGAUGAACACGGCAUAUAUAGGCCUUGUUAUUCACGUUCUAAGCCGUGUUUCGCGUUUGCUUUUGCACUUUGGAUUCUCCGGAGACUUUCUCACGACUUUUAUCCCUUGUUUUUUUUCUUUUUUUUUUUUUUUUUUUGAGGUUUGACUUUUGGGGUUUUUAUUAUUUUCUUUUGACUUACAUGUGAAUCGAAGCUCACCUUUAUAUAUAUAAUAAGAGCUGGGUUGGUAUACUAUCGAUAGUACGAAGGCCUCCGUGCUAUCAAGUUGUUUUUGAUGAUGCGGCUUCUAAAUCGACGAUCGGCUCUGUUAGACUUGAUCUACACUAUUGAAAGUAUUUGGAAACUAAAUUUCAUAAUUUUUCGAUAUCAUUAACUAUCAAACGAGUAGUCUAAAAGUGAACGGCUGAAAAUAAAAUCUCAUAAAAAAUGAUUAUAAAAGACUUGAAUUUAAGAUCAGAUGUACUGAUCAUACUCUAAAGAGUGAAAAUAAUUUUCUAUAAAAAUUUCACUAGAUUUGGAUUGUUUUACACCGUUAAAUUCACAAACGCAUCACAUCAACUAUUAAAAUUGUCAAUUUUGAGACAUUUUGAUCACUAGUCAAAUGAUGUCGAAAAAGUAUGAAAUUUAAUUUCCAAAUACUUUUAAUAGUGUAGAUCAAAUUUAACGGAGCCGAUCGUCGAUUUGGAAACUGCUUCAUUGAAAACAACUUGAUAGCACGGAGGCCUCUGUACUACCGAUAGCAUACCAGUCUAACUCUCUCUCUCUCUCUCUCUCUCUCUCUCUCUCUCUCUCCUAGUUUAGAUUCCUGCUACCGACACUACUAGGUAUAUAAAUAUAAUAUAGUAGUCACCGGAGCUGGUAGUAAAUUAAUUNAUUUUUUCGACAUCAUUUGACUAGUGAUCAAAAGAUCUCAAAAUUGACAAUUUUAAUGGCCAAUGUGGUGUGUUUGUCAGUUUAACGGUGUAAAAUAAUCCAAAUGCGAUGAAAAUUUUAUAGAAAAUUCUUUUCACUAUUUAGAGUAAGAUCAGUAUAUCUGAUCUUGAAUUUAAAUCUUUUAUCAUUAUUUUUCAUGAGAUUUUUAUUUUCAGCCGUUCAAUUUUAGACUACUUGUUUGAUAGGUAAAUGAUAUCGAAAAAUUAUGAAAUUUAGUUUCUAAAUACUUUCAAUAGUACAGAUCAAGUCUAACGGAGCCGAUCGUCGAUUUGGAAGCCGCAUCAUCGAAAACAAUUUGGUAGCACGGAGCGCUCCGUGCUACCGAUAGUAUAGUAGCCUAGUUCUAUAUAUAUAUAUAUA